RNAcentral lists this ribosomal RNA (556 nucleotides) under uncultured bacterium. RNAcentral's name for it is "partial 16S ribosomal RNA". It matches the Rfam family "Bacterial small subunit ribosomal RNA", at positions 355 to 899 of the family's 1533-position model. The record is from RNAcentral.
UGGGGAAUUUUGGACAAUGGGCGAAAGCCUGAUCCAGCAAUGCCGCGUGUGUGAAGAGGGCCUUCGGGUUGUAAAGCACUUUUGUCCGGAAAGAAAUCCUUGGCUCUAAUACAGUCGGGGGAUGACGGUACCGGAAGAAUAAGCACCGGCUAACUACGUGCCAGCAGCCGCGGUAAUACGUAGGGUGCAAGCGUUAAUCGGAAUUACUGGGCGUAAAGCGUGCGCAGGCGGUUUGCUAAGACCGAUGUGAAAUCCCCGGGCUCAACCUGGGAACUGCAUUGGUGACUGGCAGGCUAGAGUAUGGCAGAGGGGGGUAGAAUUCCACGUGUAGCAGUGAAAUGCGUAGAGAUGUGGAGGAAUACCGAUGGCGAAGGCAGCCCCCUGGGCCAAUACUGACGCUCAUGCACGAAAAGGCGUGGGGGAGCAAAACAGGAUUAGAUACCCCUGGUAGUCCACGCCCUAAACGAUGUCAACUAGUUGUUGGGGAUUCAUUUCCUUAGUAACGUAGCUAACGCGUGAAGUUGACCGCCUGGGGAGUACGGUCGCAAGAUUAAAA